UCCUCAGUAGCUCAGUUGGUUAGAGCACCUGACUGUUAAUCAGGGAGUCGUAGGUUCAAAUCCUACCUGAGGAG
RNAcentral lists this transfer RNA (74 nucleotides) under bacterium. RNAcentral's name for it is "tRNA-Asn". It matches the Rfam family "tRNA". From Rfam's summary of the family: Transfer RNA (tRNA) molecules are approximately 80 nucleotides in length. Their secondary structure includes four short double-helical elements and three loops (D, anti-codon, and T loops). Further hydrogen bonds mediate the characteristic L-shaped molecular structure. tRNAs have two regions of fundamental functional importance: the anti-codon, which is responsible for specific mRNA codon recognition, and the 3' end, to which the tRNAs corresponding amino acid is attached (by aminoacyl-tRNA synthetases). tRNAs cope with the degeneracy of the genetic code in two manners: having more than one tRNA (with a specific anti-codon) for a particular amino acid; and 'wobble' base-pairing, i.e. permitting non-standard base-pairing at the 3rd anti-codon position. The record is from RNAcentral. RNAcentral also lists the same sequence under 1 other name.